UACGCACUCCUACGGGAGCAGCAGUGGGGAAUAUUGCACAAUGGGCGCAAGCCUGAUGCAGCCAUGCCGCGUGUAUGAAGAAGGCCUUCGGGUUGUAAAGUACUUUCAGCAGUGAGGAAGGUGGGUAUGUUAAUAGCAUAUUCAUUUGACGUUAGCUGCAGAAGAAGCACCGGCUAACUCCGUGCCAGCAGCCGCGGUAAUACGGAGGGUGCGAGCGUUAAUCGGAAUUACUGGGCGUAAAGCGCAUGCAGGUGGUUUGUUAAGUCAGAUGUGAAAGCCCGGGGCUCAACCUCGGAAUUGCAUUUGAAACUGGCAAACUAGAGUACUGUAGAGGGGGUAGAAUUUCAGGUGUAGCGGUGAAAUGCGUAGAGAUCUGAAGGAAUACCGGUGGCGAAGGCGGCCCCCUGGACAGAUACUGACACUCAGAUGCGAAAGCGUGGGGAGCAAACAGGAUUAGAUACCCUGGUAG
RNAcentral lists this ribosomal RNA (469 nucleotides) under uncultured bacterium. RNAcentral describes it as "bacterial SSU rRNA". It matches the Rfam family "Bacterial small subunit ribosomal RNA", at positions 330 to 793 of the family's 1533-position model. The record is from RNAcentral.